ACAUUGUGUUAAGGCUCUGAAACACCAACCCAACGGCCGACUGUCGGCAGAAAACGCAGUCGGACUGAUCAGUCGGCUCCCCGAGUUCCAAAAAGUGCCUGAGAACACAUCGAAGCGACGCCGACUUCAGCGUACGUUCUGCGUGUGCGCGAGACCUAA
This is a long non-coding RNA of Sander lucioperca (pikeperch), 159 nucleotides long. RefSeq lists it as uncharacterized. NCBI's taxonomy places the organism in Eukaryota, Metazoa, Chordata, Actinopteri, Perciformes, Percidae. The transcript is spliced from 3 exons. The record is from RefSeq and is a predicted model, not a curated record.